GGCUGAAGGGAGCUCUGUGUUUGGGGGCACUAUACACCUGCAGACUGUUGAGGCGACGUAAGGAAGCAAUAACAAGACCACCAGAAAUGAUUAGGGAGCAGCAGAUUGGAACAAGAGAGCAAACCACACGAGAGGAAUGCGAACUUCAUCCAGGUUCUGACAUAAUCGAGUCCAAAAACUACCUUAGAAGAUGGGUAGAAGCGGUAACAGUGCCAGGAAACAGAGAAGCCAACAAAUAAUACUUUUCUCACAGAGAGUUCAUUUGUAAAAAGCCUGAUUGGGGAAAGGGGAUAAUCUUUGAAUAGAGUUUAAAUUUUGAUUGUUAUUUGACAUG
Molecule: long non-coding RNA, 334 nt
Filed under: Canis lupus familiaris (dog)
Lineage: Eukaryota; Metazoa; Chordata; Mammalia; Carnivora; Canidae
Description: lncRNA (ENSCAFG00845028615.1)
Source: RNAcentral